AUUGAACGCUGGCGGCAGGCCUAACACAUGCAAGUCGAGCGGAUGAAGGGAGCUUGCUCCUGGCUUCAGCGGCGGACGGGUGAGUAAUGCCUAGGAAUCUGCCUGGUCGUGGGGGAUAACGUCCGGAAACGGGCGCUAAUACCGCAUACGUCAUGAGGGUGAAAGUGGGGGAUCUUCGGACCUCACGCUAUCAGCUGAGCCUAGGUCGGAUUAGCUAGUUGGUGGGGUAAAGGCUUACCAAGGCGACGAUCCGUAACUGGUCUGAGAGGAUGAUCAGUCACACUGGAACUGAGACACGGUCCAGACUCCUACGGGAGGCAGCAGUGGGGAAUAUUGGACAAUGGGCGAAAGCCUGAUCCAGCCAUGCCGCGUGUGUGAAGAAGGUCUUCGGAUUGUAAAGCACUUUAAGUUGGGAGGAAGGGCAGUAAGUUAAUACCUUGCUGUUUUGACGUUACCAACAGAAUAAGCACCGGCUAACUUCGUG
RNAcentral lists this ribosomal RNA (484 nucleotides) under uncultured bacterium. Its description in RNAcentral is "partial 16S ribosomal RNA". It matches the Rfam family "Bacterial small subunit ribosomal RNA", at positions 30 to 507 of the family's 1533-position model. The record is from RNAcentral.